This is a long non-coding RNA of Oryzias melastigma (Indian medaka), 1504 nucleotides long. RefSeq lists it as uncharacterized. The record is from RefSeq and is a predicted model, not a curated record. The transcript is spliced from 3 exons. NCBI's taxonomy places the organism in Eukaryota, Metazoa, Chordata, Actinopteri, Beloniformes, Adrianichthyidae.
GGAAUUCUUACAAAUGUAAGAUGGACCGGUUCGGGAAACCAGCAGGACGUACGGACUGAUCCUGGUGGAACGUCUUUCUGAGGGAGAGCUUCCCUGCUUUUGAACAGCGACGCUGAAAGAUACGGUGAACACGGCCGGGUUUUUUGGACGACGUGGUUCUCUCCACCCUCUAGGAAAUCUGUAAGUCAAAUGAUUGUUUUAUUAAACACGCGCGCUCGCGCAUUAAGGAAAUACGUGCCAUAAGGGAAAGAACCUUACCCAAUUGACUCAGGUCGAUAAAGUCUGUGAGUUUAAAAAUGAAGAAAUACUUGCGGUUAAAAAUUAUAUAAAGGUUAAAAUAAAAUAAAUCUUACCAUCAAAGAAGUUAUCUGUUUGAUUGCGGUGAACAUCGGCUUGAGUUUCUUUAAAAAAAGAAAAAACAUGCUUUGCUUAAAAAUGUUUCAAAUCAGUUGGAUUUUCAGUCAGAAGGAAAUGCAUUUUUUAACAACAUCUGUACACAUAGUGUGUGAUAGGGUUCGCUAGAAAAAAACAUACUCUUCCUAUUCGCCAGGUGGGGAUCUAGAGUCAUUUAACCGUCAAAGAAAAUACAUACUACUCCAAUUCGAUAGAUGGCGAUCUCGAGUCUUUUUUAACCGUCGAAGAAGAGGAUGUGACGUCAUGAUUUACCGCGUGAUUCAAAGUGGCUGCACUGUGGUUCACAGGACGGGAGGAAAAAGAAAGAAAAAUGAUCAAAACUUACCGACGGGUUCCCUUUACCCCUUCUUCGGAGCAGCCUCCGUUGUUGGAACCCGAUCCUGAAGCUCCGAGUCAGCGUGUUUCUCCGGACCCGUCGGGCCCUCGCUUCGGCUUUCGCCGGCCUGGACCCCGGAGAUUGGCUGUGGAUUACCCGGAGCCGCACGCUCGUUGACGGGUUGCAGGAUGGUCUGAGGCUAGGGGUUAGGCUGAGUCUGAGACGCCUUCUGUUUGUUUGGUUGGAAAGCUCGGGGUAGGUCGCUGCUGCUGCUGCUGUUGCUGCUGGAGCAUCUGAGUUUGACCGACGGCUUCCCGCGGUCCCCCGGUGAUGGCGGCUGCUGCGGCCGAGUUAGGUCUGAAGUCCCCCGCUGGAGCCUUGGAGCGGUUCGGGAAACCAGGAGGACGCACGGACUGAUCCUGGUGGGAUGUCUUUCUGAGGGAGAGCUUCCCCUGCUUCGGAGCAGCGCCGCUCAGAGGUCCGGUGAAGACGGCCGGGUUUUUCUGGACCCCGCGGUUCUGAGUUUCAACUUCCCCCAGGAAUUCUACGCUUCUCCAUCAGAAGGUCCACAGGUGUCGGAACGAUCGGCUAUUCCUAGGAAGAGACGACGGGCUUCUUCCUUUCCCGCAAGCUAAGAUCAUUAAGGAGAAGACCCGUUGGUGUUCGCGCCCCUUAGGAAACGGACGGCGGGAUCUCCUUUCUGCUUCCUUUCUCGCCACUAUUGGGUGUCGGAAGGCAUCAAAAGCAGAACCGAAAUAAAGUCUACUUAAGGAA